UGGAGCAUGUGGUUAAUUCGAAGCAACGCGAAGAACCUUACCAGGUCUUGACAUCCCCUGACAACCCAAGAGAUUGGGCGUUCCCCUUCGGGGGACAGGGUGACAGGUGGUGCAUGGUUGUCGUCAGCUCGUGUCGUGAGAUGUUGGGUUAAGUCCCGCAACGAGCGCAACCCUCGCCUCUAGUUGCCAGCAUUCGGUUGGGCACUCUAGAGGGACUGCCGGCGACAAGUCGGAGGAAGUGGGAUGACGUCAAAUCAUCAUGCCCCUUAUGACCUGGGCUACACACGUGCUACAAUGGGCGGUACAAAGGGCUGCGAACCCGCGAGGGGGAGCGAAUCCCAAAAAGCCGCUCUCAGUUCGGAUUGCAGGCUGCAACUCGCCUGCAUGAAGCCGGAAUCGCUAGUAAUCGCGGAUCAGCAUGCCGCGGUCGAAUACGUUCCCGGGCCUU
RNAcentral lists this ribosomal RNA (448 nucleotides) under uncultured Geobacillus sp. Its description in RNAcentral is "bacterial SSU rRNA". It matches the Rfam family "Bacterial small subunit ribosomal RNA", at positions 933 to 1382 of the family's 1533-position model. Lineage: Bacteria; Bacillati; Bacillota; Bacilli; Caryophanales; Anoxybacillaceae. The record is from RNAcentral.